GCUGUGAGUGGUGCCAGCCUAGGAAUAAAGAACAUUUGAACAACACUCGAACAACUGAUUUUGCACAACUUGAUCAGCGACUGACGGUUGGCGUCAUCUUCUGAACACCUGAUGUGCUCUUUGGCAUGCUACAAACUCAGCAGAUGCACUGUCUUCUGGGCUUUACAGCUUCCUCUGAUGAAUGUACAACAUUUGGAACAAAGCCACUCUUAACACCUUCCCAUCCAUCUUGUAUUGUGAUUUCUCCUUUUUUUACAAGUUCAUAGAUGUCUCGUGUCAGAAUUGUAAAGGACUCUUCGACAUUUGUGGCAUCUUUUGCUGAGGUUUCUAUGUAUUUCAUACCACAGUCAGAUGACAGUUUUUCUGCUUCUUCUCUUGUAACCUCACGCUGUGACACUAAGUCACAUUUAUGUCCAACUAACAGAAAUACAAUCUGAAAGGGCUGCACGUGCAUUUUUGCUUCUUCCAGCCAGUCUUUCACAUGUUCAAAAGAUCGUCGAUUGGUGAUGUCGAAGACCAGCAAGCCGCCGACAGAAUUGCGAUAGUAAGAUCGUGUUAUUGAUCUGCAGAGAAAAGAACAAGGAACAGAAGAGGGAAAUUAAAAUACAUCUUCACUUCAUUUGGAAACAGGAUACUUUUCCACUGGGCAGUUUUGUUAAAUCUACUGUAAGUUUAUGAAAUAUCUUUGCUGUUUUUGAAAUUGAUUGGAAUUUAUUAACUUUUCCAUACUUAAAUGCUCAUUUUUCAUUUUUUCUUAUAUGCAAGUCACUUUCUAAACAUUCUUGAAGUCAGCAUUUUGGGUGCCAAUUUUGAAUGCUGAGUAUUCUGAAAACACUCUUUGUUAGCAAAGUGUUGCACGUGUUCACAAAAUAAUACUUACAUAUAUUUUGUCAAAUGCUUGUUAGCUUUAACCUCCGACUCAUCCAGUUUCACACAAACAUUCAUUUAUCUUCGUUCUAAUCGGUUAUUUCAAAAUAAAAUAUUUAGGCUAAUGUCCACAAACCUGAAUCCUUUUGUAUUCCUUAUGGACAAAUUGUUUGACCACAAGAACUGUACAGGUAAUCCCUGUUAUUUGUGCUUGCAGCGGUCAUCAGGUAACAUAUUAAGAAAGGAAAUUCCCCAGCAGCACUACACAAAAUUGGCUGAGCUGGGCACAAACUUUUUACAGCAUGGACAAAACAAAUUCUGCUUCCAGCAGAUCUUUCAUGUGAAGGUUGAAAAGCUCUUCAUUAAUUGCAUUUACUCUUUUUUUGGCAGGAAACUCCCAAGAAUAGUGAUGUUUUCUACUUUUCAGCUCACUCUGUUCCAGACCAUUCACUAGAAUUAAUUUUGGAAGGAGAUCCUUUCUCUGAAAAGAUUUUGAAUAUGUUCUAGAAGGGAAAAAAAAAAAAAAAAAAAAAAAAAGAUUUUAGGUGUCUAAUCACCUUAGGAAAAGGUGAGAAGAGACAUUUUAAAGAACAUGAUUGGCUACCUAGGACUGGACGCAAACAUUAGUUACAAUAACAUACAGCAAGGUGUAUGUGUACGUUUUUCCAACUGAAAUGGGACAGAAAAUCUAUAUGGACAGUCAUUUUUGAAAUAAUAAUAUAUUCAAGAAUGAACCAUUUUAUCAUAUGAUUACGGAGAGAGUGCAGCUCCAGAACAUUUUGAAUUGGGAUUAACUCUACACAACAAAUAUCUUCCAUUAAAGGAGCUCCCUCUGAUUUUCAGUUAAUCACAUCUCAUGCAGCGUUUUCUAACAGUUUGAACACUGAAGUAUAAUUAAGAGCAGUAGUCACAUUACAGAUAGGUAAGUGCACAGAUAAGGCUUAGAUUUCUCGACAUAACUUCAUUUAGUCACAGCAAACUGCAUUUGAAAUUGUUUUAUUUAGGUAAUAGGGAGGGUUUGUUUUCCAAAUAUUUCAGAAAGAUCUUUUCUGCAUUCCCAGCAACAGUCCAUGGAGCAGGUCUGCAAAGAGUCUGAAUGUGAACACAACACGAGCUUACCCUCAGAUUGAUUCCAACAGCCUGGAUAUGAAAAGUGACCAUAAAUAAAAGGUGUUGUAUUUUGUGAAGUAUUGAAUAAAGAUACCACAAAGAUCA
Molecule: long non-coding RNA, 2082 nt
Organism: Centrocercus urophasianus (Greater sage-grouse)
Lineage: Eukaryota; Metazoa; Chordata; Aves; Galliformes; Phasianidae
Exons: 2
Source: RefSeq, a predicted model, not a curated record